UCUAGCACACCGCGUGUGCGAUGAAGGCCUUCGGGUCGUAAAGCACUUUUUGGAGGGAAUAGGAAGGAAGGUACCUCCAGAAUAAGUCUCGGCUAACUACGUGCCAGCAGCCGCGGUAACACGUAGGAGGCAAACGUUAUCCGGAUUCACUGGGCGUAAAGCGCGUGCAGGUGGUUUCGUAAGUAGGGCGUGAAAGCUCCCGGCUCAACUGGGAGAGGCCGUACUAAACUGCGGAGCUAGAGGAUGGUAGAGGGAGGUGGAAUUCCAGGUGUAGUGGUGAAAUGCGCAGAUAUCUGGAGGAACACCAGUGGCGAAGGCGGCCUCCUGGACCAUACCUGACACUCAGACGCGAAAGCUAGGGUAGCAAACGGAAUUAGAGACUCCGGUAGUCCUAGCCCUAAACGAUGCAGACUAGGCGUCGGCGGUUUAAUCACCGUCGGUGUCCAAGCUAACGCGAUAAGUCUGCCGCCUGAGGACUACGGCCGCAAGGCUAAAACUCAAAGGAAUUGACGG
RNAcentral lists this ribosomal RNA (513 nucleotides) under uncultured Anaerolineaceae bacterium. RNAcentral describes it as "bacterial SSU rRNA". It matches the Rfam family "Bacterial small subunit ribosomal RNA", at positions 387 to 916 of the family's 1533-position model. Lineage: Bacteria; Bacillati; Chloroflexota; Anaerolineae; Anaerolineales; Anaerolineaceae. The record is from RNAcentral.